GUCUUAAAGAUGCAGUCACACUAAGAACCAGUGAAUAUUUGCUUCACCUCUUCUUCACUUAAAUGGGAAAUUACAAAAAGAGUUCAAGAUUUACAGGUGUUUUUCCACCUCAACAAUCUCUCCUGCUGCAACUGACAACAGAAAACGACCAGAUACAGCUGUAAUUGAACUUGCAGCGUUUCUUCUAAACUGGAGUCUCUCAGUGAUGGUGAGAAAGAUGUCACGGCUGAUUUCACUAUCAACAACUCAGCUUGUGCCAGCUGCUGUGCUUGACUAGACCAGGACCAGGUCCAGAUCCACCAACGGCAUCUUCUCACGCAAAGACAAAUGAGCAGCUGUCAAGCUGUCAGCUCCACAGCGGUGACCUCCAUCUACAGAAAUGCUGUCAGAUGGGGCCUCUUGGUCAUCAAGUUUAAAAAGGCGCCAGUGUUUUGCUUUUGCCCGCUUUUCCCCUUUUGCGAAUGCACUCGAUACUCCACAACUUCCUGUUGGACGAGUGACAAAGCGCCCCAGACUAAAAGAAAAUAAAAAAAUCUAUUUAAACCUAAAUGGGGCAAAAAGGAAGGGAGACAUUGUGUAUAUGAUGGCAAAGAAAAGCAUGCUAUAAUACAACGCAAUUUGAUUAAACAUCUAUUAGAUUCCCUCUCAAGGCCAUUAAUUUUAGGAAUGACUUUUAUUAACAAAUAAGUACAGAUGCAGUCAGCUUUCUACCUACUGUAGACAUAAAAUCUCAUGUUCAAUUAAAUGAAGAAAGAGCCUCUGUGUAGUCUGUGAAAUGUUCAGUGUCUGUCAUGAUGCAUUUACCAACCCAAAUAUGAUGCUAUGCUUUAAGCACAAGCUACUCAGAAAACCCAAAAAAGAAUGGUUUGACAUUUUUGGGAAAUGCGCUUUCUUGUCCAGAGUUAGACGAGAAAAUGGAUACCACUCUUAUGUCAAUAUUUUCAACAGGAAGCAGGAGCUAGCAGCUGUUAGCUUAGCUUAGCACAAAGACCAACAGGAUCAGCUCACCUGGACCUGUGCUCAGGUAACAAAAUCCAGGUACCACCAAAAUUUACUGAGCUUUAGAAGUGCUAGUAGAAGGAGUUUUUUAAAUCUUCAGACAGAGCCAUGCUAGCUGCCUCACUUGUUUAAUUCCAAGCUAAGCUAAUCACAUCUUGGCUGUAGCUUAAUACUGAACAGAUAGGAGAGUGGUAUCGAUCGCCUCAUCUGACUCAACAGCAGGAAAGUGAAUGAGUGUAUUUACCAAAAUGUAAAGUAUUCCGUUAAGUACAAGCGCCUUCAGACCUAUGAAAAAACUAAUAGCAGAUGUUGUAAACAUGUAUUCAGUCAGCAUUACAAUUCAGUGAUUCUUGUCAACCUAUCUUAUGAUUCAAGUUCCCCCUCAAAACCACUGGCUUGAUAACCCUUUUCACAUCAUAUUCACAUUUUUUCCAUUGUGUCAAUUACAAUACAAUUGCUAAUAUAAAAAUAUUGAUUAUAGCUGCUCUAAAGAAUGAAUGGUUAAAUAUGAACAUAGCAAAAUCAUUGUAAAAGUGUUAUAACU
Long non-coding RNA from Seriola aureovittata, 1543 nucleotides. RefSeq lists it as uncharacterized. The record is from RefSeq and is a predicted model, not a curated record. NCBI's taxonomy places the organism in Eukaryota, Metazoa, Chordata, Actinopteri, Carangiformes, Carangidae. The transcript has 3 exons.